UAGAAUUGCUUGCACCUGAUGCAGAAAUAUUAGAAGAUGAUAAAGAAGAACAGAUAAUUGAGUGGGAGACUCAAGAGGAACAAGAAACUAAGAUUGAUGAUGAUUUUGAGGCUGAAGUUAUGGAAGAAGAAACUAUUGGUGGAGAAGGUGAUGAGGAUAUGCAAGAAGGCAUUGAUGUUCGGUCUCCUGAUGAUGAAGACAUGACAGAAGAGCAGCCUGAUGAUACUGAAGAUAUGGGUGAUCAACCAACAUCUUCUGAUUUAGGUAUUUAAGC
This is a long non-coding RNA of Parasteatoda tepidariorum (common house spider), 274 nucleotides long. The record is from RefSeq and is a predicted model, not a curated record. NCBI's taxonomy places the organism in Eukaryota, Metazoa, Arthropoda, Arachnida, Araneae, Theridiidae.